This 253-nucleotide ribosomal RNA is filed under the name uncultured microorganism. RNAcentral's name for it is "partial 16S ribosomal RNA". It matches the Rfam family "Bacterial small subunit ribosomal RNA", at positions 524 to 776 of the family's 1533-position model. The record is from RNAcentral.
UACGUAGGGUGCGAGCGUUAAUCGGAUUUACUGGGCGUAAAGCGUGCGCAGGCGGCCCGUUAAGACAGGUGUGAAAUCCCUGGGCUCAACCUAGGAAUUGCGCUUGUGACUGGCGGGCUCGAGUACGGUAGAGGGGGGUGGAAUUCCUGGUGUAGCAGUGAAAUGCGUAGAUAUCGGGAGGAAGGCCGGUGGCGAAGGCGGCCUCCUGGGCCUGUACUGACGCUCAUGCACGAAAGCGUGGGGAGCAAACAGG